AGAUCCAAUUGAACCGCAGGCUUCACCCUUGUGGUGCUCCCCCGCCAAUUCCUUUAAGUUUCAUACUUGCGUACGUACUUCCCAGGCGGCAGACUUAACGGCUUCCCUGCGGCACUGCAUUGGCCACAAGCCAAUGCAUCACCGAGUCUGCAUCGUUUACAGCUGGGACUACCCGGGUAUCUAAUCCGGUUUGCUCCCCCAGCUUUCAUCCCUCACCGUCGAACGUGUUCUGGUACACCGCCUUCGCCACAGGUGGUCUUCAAUAGAUCAAAGGAUUUUACCCCUUCCUAUCGAGUACCGUGUACCUCUCCCACUCCCUAGCUGCACAGUAUUUUCGGCGGCCUAUACGCUAAGCGCAUAGAUUUAACCGAAAACUUAUGCAACCGGCUACGGAUGCUUUAGGCCCAAUAAACCUCCUGACCACUCGAGGUGCUGGUUUUACCGCGGCGGCUGACACCAGAACUUGCCCACCCCUUAUUCACCAGUGAUUCUACAACUGACAAAAGACUCCUUUAGCAGGAGACACUCGGAUUAACCUUGUCGUGCUUUCGCACAUUGCAAAGGUUUC
RNAcentral lists this ribosomal RNA (568 nucleotides) under uncultured archaeon. Its description in RNAcentral is "partial 16S ribosomal RNA". The record is from RNAcentral.